AAGAUGAGAUUUCCCAUGAUUUUAUAUCAGUAAGAGCCCUGAGAGAUGAUCAGGUUGAUAGGUUAGAAGUGGAAGUGUGGUGACACAUGUAGCGGACUAAUACUAAUAGCUCGAGGACUUAUCCAA
RNAcentral lists this ribosomal RNA (126 nucleotides) under Streptococcus thermophilus MTH17CL396. RNAcentral's name for it is "partial 23S ribosomal RNA". It matches the Rfam family "Bacterial large subunit ribosomal RNA", at positions 2801 to 2925 of the family's 2925-position model. The record is from RNAcentral. Lineage: Bacteria; Bacillati; Bacillota; Bacilli; Lactobacillales; Streptococcaceae.